RNAcentral lists this ribosomal RNA (382 nucleotides) under uncultured bacterium. RNAcentral's name for it is "bacterial SSU rRNA". It matches the Rfam family "Bacterial small subunit ribosomal RNA", at positions 28 to 424 of the family's 1533-position model. The record is from RNAcentral.
GACGAACGCUGGCGGCGUGCUUAACACAUGCAAGUCAAGGACCGUAGCAAUACGGGACUGGCGCACGGGUGCGGAACACGUAGGCAAUCUGCCCUUAAGGGGAGAACAACCAGUCGAAAGAUUGGCUAAAUCUCCGUAAAAUCAUAGAGUGGCAUCACUUAUUGAUCAAGUUUUCUUAGGGAUGAGCCUGCGUCUGAUUAGCUAGUUGGCGGUGUAAUGGACCACCAAGGCUACGAUCAGUAGCUGGUCUGAGAGGAUGAUCAGCCACAUUGGGACUGAGAUACGGCCCAGACUCCUACGGGAGGCAGCAGUGAGGAAUAUUGCUCAAUGGGGGAAACCCUGAAGCAGCAACGCCGCGUAAAGGAUGAAGGCGCUUUGCGUU